RNAcentral lists this ribosomal RNA (253 nucleotides) under uncultured bacterium. Its description in RNAcentral is "partial 16S ribosomal RNA". It matches the Rfam family "Bacterial small subunit ribosomal RNA", at positions 524 to 776 of the family's 1533-position model. The record is from RNAcentral.
UACGGAGGGUGCGAGCGUUGUCCGGAAUCACUGGGCGUAAAGGGCGCGUAGGCGGCGCGGAUAGUCGGCGGUGAAAGCCCGGAGCUCAACUUCGGGUCGGCCGUCGAUACUUCCGGGCUUGAGCACUGUAGAGGCAGAUGGAAUUCCGGGUGUAGCGGUGGAAUGCGUAGAGAUCCGGAAGAACACCGGUGGCGAAGGCGGUCUGCUGGGCAGUUGCUGACGCUGAUGCGCGACAGCGUGGGGAGCAAACAGG